Molecule: unclassified non-coding RNA, 433 nt
Filed under: soil metagenome
Description: partial contains 5.8S ribosomal RNA, internal transcribed spacer 2, and large subunit ribosomal RNA
Rfam family: 5.8S ribosomal RNA (bases 1-120)
Source: RNAcentral
GAUGAAGAACGUAGCGAAAUGCGAUACGUAAUGUGAAUUGCAGAAUUCAGUGAAUCAUCGAAUCUUUGAACGCAUAUUGCGCUCUCUGGUAUCCCGGAGAGCAUGCUUGUUUGAGUAUCAGUAAACACCUCAACUCCCUUUUCUUUUUUGAAAUGGGAGCUGGACUUGAGUGAUCCCAACACUUUUCUCACUGGAAAGUGGCGGGUCACUUGAAAUGCAGGUGCAGCUGGACUUUUCUCUGAGCUAUAAGCAUAUCUAUUUAGUCUGCCUAAAAAACAGAUUAUUACCUUUGCUGCAGCUAACAUAAAGGAGAUGAGUUCUUGUGCUGACUGAUGCAGGAUUCACAGAGACAGCUUUGCGGCUGACUUUGUAAACUCGAUCUCAAAUCAAGUAAGACUACCCGCUGAACUUAAGCAUAUCAAUAAGCGGAGGA